AUGACGGUAUCACCCAUCCCGCCGUGCAAGUGCCUCGACGGCUUUGAGCCGGCUAGCAUGGAGGAGUGGACCAGUGGCACGUUCUUUAAGGGGUGCCGACGAAAGGAGCCACUAGACGAGUGCGGUGGCGAUUUCUUAGCCUUGCCGGGGAUGAAGCCACCAGACAAGUUCACGCUCAUUGGCGGGGACAAGACUACAUUCCAGGAGUGCGCAACAGAGUGCAACCGCAACUGCUACUGUGUGGCAUAUGCGUAUGCUAACCUGAGCAGCGGCAGGUCUAGAGGAAACGUGACAAGGUGCUUGGUUUGGGCCGGGGAGUUGAUUGACACGGGGAAGUUUGGCUCAGUAAUUGGCAGCGACACGCUCUAUCUCCAAAUUGCUGGCCUAGAUGUGGCAGAUGGUAAAAGGACUAAGAGCAAUACAGUGGGGAUUGGACUGCCAGUUUUAACAAGUUUUCUGGUGCUCCUAUGCAUAGCCUUGGCAUGGUUAAUAUCUAAAGGAAACCCUCCCCGUGAUCAUGAAUUUCCAUUUGUAAGAUUUCAGGAAAUUGCCAUAGCAACUCAAAACUUCUGUGAAACAUGUAAGAUUGGACAUGGAGGCUUUGGCAAAGUUUACGAGGGAAUGUUAGAUGGUCAAGAAGUUGCUAUCAAAAGGCUUAGUAAGGAUUCUCAACAAGGAACAAAUGAAUUCAGGAAUGAGGUAAUUCUAAUUGCCAAACUGCAACAUAGGAACUUGGUUCAACUCCUCGGGUGUUGCGCGGACAGAGAUGAAAAAUUGUUGAUUUAUGAGUAUAUGCCUAACAAGAGCUUGGAUGCUACCCUUUUUGAUGACUCGAGAAAAUUGUUGCUAGAUUGGUCAACACGAUUUAAUAUAGUCAAAGGGAUCGCAAGGGGACUUCUUUAUCUCCACCAAGAUUCAAGAUUGACAAUAAUUCACAGAGACCUGAAAGCUGGAAAUGUAUUGCUAGAUGCAGAGAUGAAACCCAAGAUAGCGGAUUUUGGUAUGGCAAGGAUCUUUGGAGAGAACCAACAAAAUGCAAAUACUCAACGUGUUGUCGGGACCUGUCAUGGAAUAUGUGGCAAGAAGGGCGGGCAGACGAGCUGCCAGACUCAUCUAUCAUGGAUACUUGUUCACUAG
RNAcentral lists this ribosomal RNA (1137 nucleotides) under Triticum aestivum (bread wheat). RNAcentral's name for it is "partial small subunit ribosomal RNA". Lineage: Eukaryota; Viridiplantae; Streptophyta; Magnoliopsida; Poales; Poaceae. The record is from RNAcentral.